Long non-coding RNA from Physella acuta, 927 nucleotides. RefSeq lists it as uncharacterized. Lineage: Eukaryota; Metazoa; Mollusca; Gastropoda; Physidae. The record is from RefSeq and is a predicted model, not a curated record.
AGACCAAACUUCAACUUUACAAGUGGAUAACAGCAAAAGCAAAAUUCAAACACUCGAAAAAGAAGUUUUAAAGUUGUCUCAAGAUUUUCAGACUAUUGCUAAUCACAGAGGAAAACUGUGUUCACUAGGUUUUAUUGCUUCACAAGGAUUUUAUGAAAAAAAGUUUAACAGUGUAGAACUUAAUGUAGGCAACUGUUUUAAUCCAACCACUGGAGAGUUUACUGCCCCAGUUGAUGGCCUGUACAUAGUAACUCUUACCAUAAAACCAACAGGAGAUGGUGCCGCACAAGCUAAUGUUUGGCACUCAUCUGGUGGGGUAAGGAAAAGGCUUGGCGGUGUUGGAACAGAUAAAAUUAAUGAGGCUUCAAGAACUUUUGUUGUUAGGAUGAAAGCUGGAGAUAGGGUACAUUCACUUGCAAAUACUUACAACUGUGAGCGCACACAUUUUUCUUGCUUUCUUUUUGGUGACUGAUGUUUCAUACUGGCUGAGAGAUGUAUUACAUUUUUAAUGUUCUAUUUUAAUGUAUAUAUAAUUGUUACAAGAAUAUAUAAAGCACAUGCCAAUUUAAAAGUCAUGUAAAUGCUAUAUUACUAUGUAUUUAUAGUCAUUACUAAAACAUAAAAACUAUUUGCCCAUUUAAAUGACAUACUUUCAUAUUUAUUCUACACAUAUGAAGGUAAUUUUACUAGUUAUACUCUGUUUUGAAUAUUUUAAACUAAAUUCCCAUCUAGUUAUUAAUAUGACUUGUGUAAACUUAUGGCAUGCCUAUUCCCUAAGCUAUACUGGAUUAAAUAUUUAGCAAUGAUUUGUGACAAAUAAACAAUUGUCAAGCAUUACAUUACAGAUGGGGAUUUAACAUUUUUAAUAUGUUGUCAUUGCCAACAAACUUCAAUCAAUGAUUGAUUUAACUUAUAUCAACUUGCCGC